Molecule: ribosomal RNA, 357 nt
Filed under: uncultured bacterium
Lineage: Bacteria
Description: bacterial SSU rRNA
Rfam family: Bacterial small subunit ribosomal RNA
Source: RNAcentral
ACGAACGCUGGCGGCAGGCCUAACACAUGCAAGUCGAACGCCCCGCGAAGGGAGUGGCAGACGGGUGAGUAACACGUGGGAACGUACCCUUCGGUUCGGGAUAACUCAGGGAAACUUGAGCUAAUACCGGAUACGUCCGAGAGGAGAAAGAUUUAUCGCCGAGGGAUCGGCCCGCGUCUGAUUAGCUUGUUGGUGAGGUAACGGCUCACCAAGGCGACGAUCAGUAGCUGGUCUGAGAGGAUGAUCAGCCACAUUGGGACUGAGACACGGACCCAAACUCCGUACGGGAGGCAGCAGGUGGGGAAUAUUGGACAAGUGGGCGCAAGCCUGAUCCAGCCAUGCCGCGUGAGUGAUGAA